Molecule: long non-coding RNA, 2382 nt
Filed under: Homo sapiens (human)
Lineage: Eukaryota; Metazoa; Chordata; Mammalia; Primates; Hominidae
Description: long non-coding RNA NONHSAT018519.2
Source: RNAcentral
CAGUUUAUUAUCAAUUCACAAUUAAAGCAGCAUGCAAUUUAUUAUUUUUUUUAACUUUUUAUGUUUUCAGUUCUUGGCAACGGCAACAAACCACAACAUUAUCAAGGAAUGUAAUGCAGACUUUUUAAGUUGUGCGCAAAUGACUGUUUCCCUUCUGGUCAUGGACAUGUCCAAUAAAUAGAUUGUAGAACCACUGUACUGUAUAAACUUCAUUUAUACAUGCAGUUCAUAAAAUUAUUUUUUUCUUAACUGAAUAAUUUACCCUGUUAUGUAUAUAUACAAAUAGAUAAUUUUUGUCUCAAUAUAAUCUAAUCUAUACAACAUAAAUCCACUAUCUUCCCCUUUUAAUGGUCAAUGUACAUACACAAGAAGUGUCUAUCCUUAUGAAUCGCCAGCCAAUUCUCUUUUUGCUAUCCAUGGUAAGGGCCCGCACGUACGACUGGGUAGUUCGGCACUGGGAGUUCCAAUGCCUUUUGUCUAUGCCCCUGCAGCCUUCUUUUGUGUAACCCAUGGGAUUGCACUUGGUCUCGUAGAAGUAUUGCUUCAGUUGGCCUUUUGAUACAGGGACCUUUUCAAGGACUGUGACCGUCCCGCCCGACAUGUCCACUGCAGUCUUUUUGUCUGCCGCCGUUACCCACUCACUAAUACUGUCACACACGCUCAGCUCCCCUCGGCGGGCAGGGUCAGAGUGGCGCCGGACCCUCAUGGACAUGUUUGCAGCAUCUAGGUAAUUUUUGUAUUCCUCCAGCAGAAAGAGAAGAGGAGGCUCCAAAGGCACUUGACUACUGAGCAUCACCCUGGACGUGUACAAGUCUGCGUCCUUAUUGUUUUCUUCAUUGGGCCGAACUUUCUGGUCCUCAUCCAACAGCUCUUCUAUCACGUGUUCGAAAGUGUCAGCCAAUGAUGUCAAGCCUCUUGAACCUGCCUUGGGCCCAUUCACGCUCUCCAGAGUCCCAUGGGUCCGCACACCUGGAGAUACUCUAUUAUAGCAAAGAAGAAAGAUAAUUUCAUUGAGCCAUCCUGUUUUACAGCACCCAACAGAAUCCCUUCAAAGCCUCGUGGUCUGACACCCUAUGCUACGUGACUUGUGACCCAUCCAUUUGUCAUGUUCUUCGGGAAUGUGGCUAAGGGGCUAAGAUGUGACUUGAAAAGAAAGGUAGAACAAGAUCAUCUCAAAUUUAUUAUCAAGGAAUAGUUCAGAAAACGACUUCAGACCACAGAGACAGCAGAACAGAUGGUCCGGCAUGGAUAGAGCAUCAGACACUCACAGACUGUGCCAACAAGAGCCAUCGAGUCAAAACAGCCAAAGGAAGGAGGGUCAUGGAAUGGGUUCUCUCACACCAAACUGAUGCCCAGAGGCCCUCAGCAUGAAUAACAAAGGCAACCAGACCCACAAGCCAUACUGAGUGGAUACAAAACCUAUACCUAGGCUGACAUCCCAAAUGUGUGUGGCAAGUUAGAUGAUGAUGGCACAAAAGACAGAACACCUUGCUUCUGGCCAUUGUCAGCUCUUGGAAGAGAGCACACUUUUAGAGGAGCAGCUGCAAGGAGCCUGAGAACAAAACUGGAAAUGUCUGUUAUGAAAGCCUUCACAGGAAAUUCUGCAAGUGGCAACGUGGGUCCAUUCCGUGUGUGUCACUAGAGCUGGCGCAAGCCCAUGGCCAUGGUGAGGCAGCGUUUCCACUGGAACUAAUCUGAUACCUGCACCAGCUCUUGCAACUGUGCAGUGUUCCCACUGCAAACUACGGAUGGGGUAAAAGACUGCUCACCUCCUAUUUCUCAUCUAAUCUCACACACUCUGUUUGAUGAGGCUAUGGAGAAACAGGUCUUCUCAUACACUAAAGGUGGGAGUACAAACAAUUCAAGCCCUGUGCAGGACAAUUAGGCAAUACCUAUCAAAAUUAUACAUGAUUUUUCCUGCUGACCCAGCAAUUCCACUUCUGGGAAUAAUUGACAGAUAUAGGUGCAUAUGUACAAAAUGAUGGAAAGCUCUCUGGUAUAUAUUAGUAAGUGAUAAAACAAGGUGUAAAAUAGUGUAUAUAUGGCUACUACCUUUUGUUUUAAAAAUGGGGGAAAAUGGUGGAGCUUGCGGUGAGCCGAGAUCGUGCCACUGCACUCCAGCCUGGGCGACAGAGCGAGACUCCGUCUCAAAAAAAAAACAGGGUGGGGUGGGGGGGAAAUAAUAGUACAUACUCAUAUUUACCUGUAUCUAUAUAAAACACACUAUCAAGGAUUCACAAGAAACUAAUACAAAUGAUCACCUUAUAGAUGGUAUGUAUUGGGGGAUACUGAGGUGAGCAGGGUAUAAGUGGGGCAAGACUUUUCAGUGUAAACUUCUUUUAAAUUUUAUUUUGAUUUUUGAAUAAUGUAAAUUAACUGUCA